Actinia tenebrosa (Australian red waratah sea anemone) is the source of this 265-nucleotide long non-coding RNA. The record is from RefSeq and is a predicted model, not a curated record. Lineage: Eukaryota; Metazoa; Cnidaria; Anthozoa; Actiniaria; Actiniidae.
UUCGUCCGAACCCAAGGAACGACACAGACGAUCAGGACUGCGUCCUAAACUUGAGAUGUCUGUGGUUUACGAGAACGUUACAUCAGUGAUGAAUCCUGGAGCCACGUUUUCGUAUAAAGUCAAGCUGAAGCACAGCAGUGAUUCCUCUGCAGAUGCACAAGGUGUACGAGUCCUCUUCAUGCUCACUCCAUUUGUUACAUUCAAACAAUUGAAAUCUUACGAAAUCACCAAGCCUACGCAUUCGCAGAAGGACGACAGUGUGGUU